UUUUAUGGAGAGUUUGAUCCUGGCUCAGGAUGAACGCUGGCGGCGUGCCUAAUACAUGCAAGUCGAGCGAACGGACGAGAAGCUUGCUUCUCUGAUGUUAGCGGCGGACGGGUGAGUAACACGUGGAUAACCUACCUAUAAGACUGGGAUAACUUCGGGAAACCGGAGCUAAUACCGGAUAAUAUUUUGAACCGCAUGGUUCAAAAGUGAAAGACGGUCUUGCUGUCACUUAUAGAUGGAUCCGCGCUGCAUUAGCUAGUUGGUAAGGUAACGGCUUACCAAGGCAACGAUGCAUAGCCGACCUGAGAGGGUGAUCGGCCACACUGGAACUGA
Molecule: ribosomal RNA, 333 nt
Filed under: Staphylococcus aureus
Lineage: Bacteria; Bacillati; Bacillota; Bacilli; Caryophanales; Staphylococcaceae
Description: bacterial SSU rRNA
Rfam family: Bacterial small subunit ribosomal RNA
Source: RNAcentral